CACGUAGGGCGCAAGCGUUGUCCGGAAUUAUUGGGCGUAAAGAGCUCGUAGGCGGUCUGUUGCGUCCGCUGUGAAAUCUCCGGGCUUAACUCGGAACGGUCAGAUGAUACUGCUUUGCUCGAGUGCGGAAGGGGCAAUCGGAAUUCUUGGUGUAGCGGUGAAAUGCGUAGAUAUCAAGAGGAACACCUGAGGUGAAGACGGGUUGCUGGGCCGACACUGACGCUGAAGCGCGAAAGCCAGGGGAGCAAACGGG
RNAcentral lists this ribosomal RNA (253 nucleotides) under uncultured bacterium. Its description in RNAcentral is "partial 16S ribosomal RNA". It matches the Rfam family "Bacterial small subunit ribosomal RNA", at positions 524 to 776 of the family's 1533-position model. The record is from RNAcentral.